GACUCAUUUAGCCGACUGUCGAGUCCAAGAGCACGAGCGUCAGCCAAACAGCCGAACAUCAAGCGUGGCCGCCAUGCUAUUCCAUUGGAUCACAUUAAGUCUCGUCAUCUAGAAACCAUAUCCUGGGCUGUCAGCUGCGCACCAUGAUAAGAAACUACGAAGUUAUUAAUUACACUCAUGAGGUCAUUAAUUAUGCCCCAUAUGCAUUAAGGUACACCACCGUAGCCACCUGCGCGCC
Molecule: long non-coding RNA, 238 nt
Filed under: Elaeis guineensis (African oil palm)
Lineage: Eukaryota; Viridiplantae; Streptophyta; Magnoliopsida; Arecales; Arecaceae
Description: long non-coding RNA (EGUI_LNC015769)
Source: RNAcentral